Molecule: long non-coding RNA, 1003 nt
Organism: Cyprinus carpio carpio
Lineage: Eukaryota; Metazoa; Chordata; Actinopteri; Cypriniformes; Cyprinidae
Source: Ensembl
AGGAGGGAAGUUAGUGGUCGUGCGAGGUCAGCGUAGUUCUCUAUGAACUGUCGUGAGUAAUUGCACACUCCCAGAAAGCUUUGUAGCUCAGAGAUAUUAGUGGGUGUCUUUAUGUUUUGAAUUGCUUGCCCACAGCUGGACUGUGGUUCGAUGCCACCACGUCCGAUGAGCAAGCCAACGUAGUUUACCUUGGUUUUACACCACUGUCCUUUGUGAAGGGCAAUUUUUGCUCCUGCUGUUGUCAGCUGGUUCAGGACAUGGUCAAUUUCUUUGAGGUGGUCUGCCACAUUUGAGCUUUUCAUAAGGACAUCCACGGAAACAAGGUUGCCUCUGACUCUGGCAUCAGGGCAUGCUUUGUUUAGAAAGAUGUUGAAUUCCGCUGGUGAGUUGGCAUACCCGAAAGGGCACAGUGUGAAGAUGUACUGUCGAUUGCCAAAGGUGAAUGCCAGUUUGUGUUGGUCAUCAGGGUGGACAGGGAUGGUCCAAAAUCCUGAGGUGACGUCCAAUGUGGAAAGGAUCGUUGAGCCUUUGAUUUUGGGAAUCUCUUGGUCCAAUUGAGUCAUAGGCCAUCGCGAUAAGGGAACUUGUUGGUUCAACUUGCGAUAGUCGAUGGUGGGCUGCCAUUUGCCGUUGGGCUUUAGGACUGGCCAUAUUGGUGCAGAGUAGGUGCUGUUACAGGGCUGGAUGACCCCCUUUUCCAGCAUGGAGUCAAUGAUCUCUUGAACCGAUUCGUAUGACGCUAUCGGAAUUUUGUACUGCCUCACGAAUGUGGGUGGCGCAUUUGGAUGUGUUGGGAUGCGCACCGUGUGGAUAUCAGUGAGGCCACAGUCCAGGGAAUCCUUUGUGAAGGAGUGCUGUUCUCUGUGGUUUGUUGGGUCAGGUGGUCGUUGUCUUCUCGUCCGGCUGCUAGUCAGGCUGAAUCUGGUUUCUCUUUCUUUUCCCACUUCUGGUCCUCCUCAUUUUGUUGGACGAACUCUUUUAUCAUCAUCUUCAUCAGUUCUUG